Long non-coding RNA from Mustela erminea (ermine), 5221 nucleotides. RefSeq lists it as uncharacterized. The record is from RefSeq and is a predicted model, not a curated record. The transcript has 2 exons. Lineage: Eukaryota; Metazoa; Chordata; Mammalia; Carnivora; Mustelidae.
CAGAAAAUAUUUACCAAAGACACAUCUGAUAAAAGACUCUUAUCUAAAACAUAUAAAGAAUUCUUAAAACUCAAUAAUCGGGGAACAGACACACCCCCCAGUUAAAAAAUAGGCAGAAGACCUAAAUAGAUACCUUACCAAAGAAAAUCUCCAGAGGGCAAAGAAGCAUAUGAAAAGAAGCUCAACGUCACAUACCAUUAGGGAAUUGCAAAUUAAAACAACAAUGAUACCACUAGACCCAUCUAAGAAUGGCCAAAAUCCCAAACACUGACAACACCAAAUGCUGGUAUGGAUAUGGAACUAGAGGGACACCAAUUCACUGCCAAUCGCGAUGCCACGUGGUACAGCCACUUUGGAAGACAGUUUCUUACAAAACUAAACAUACUUUUACCAUAUGAUCCAGCAAUCCUACUCCUUGAUGUGUACCCAGAUGAGUUGAAAACUGAGGUCCACACAAAAACCUACACACGUGGUUAUGGCAGCUUCAUUCGUAAUUGCCAAAACUUAGAAGCAACCAAGAUGUCCUCAGUAGAUUGAAUGGAUAAAGAGGGGUACGUCCAGACACUAGAACAGUAUCCAAAGAAGAAGAAAAAGAAGAAAAGCAAGAAUGAAUAGAGAGGCAAAAAAAAAACAACAGAUGAGUCGAACAGAAAACCAAUAGCAGAAUGGCAGAUCCCACUCCAGUCAUAUCAGUAAUUAUCCUAAAUGUAAAUGGAAUAAACCUCUGAAUUUGAAAUCAAAGAUUGAUUUCAGGCAAACAGUAUUGUCCAAAGUCCACAGUUUACAAUAGGGUUCUUUCUAGGUGGUGUAUAUUCUAUGAGUUUGGAAAAGUGUAUAUAAUGACACGUAUUCACUAUUUCCGUUCAUUGUGGGUCCAUUGAUUGUAACAAAUAUACCACUCUGGUACAGGAUGUUGAUAGUGGAGAAAGCUAUGCCUCUAUGGGAGCAGGGAGUAUAUGGCAACACUGUGUAUUUUCCAUUCAGUUUUACUGUUAACCUAAAACUACUCUAAAAAGUAAAGUCAAUUUUAAAAAAUAAGGCAAAGAGAUAAAGCUAUAAAGUCAGUAGAGGAAAAAAGAAGCAAGCAAGCAAGAAUGAAUAGAGAGGCAAAAAAAAAAUCAAAAAACAGAUGAGGCGAACAGAAAACCAAUAGCGGAAUGGCAGAUCCCACUCCAGUCAUAUCAGUAAUUAUCCUAAAUGUAAAUGGAAUAAACCUCCGAAUUAGAAAUCAGAGAUUGAUUUCAGGCUCAGCUGCAUGCUGUCUACAAGAGAUGCAUUUUAAUUACAAAGGCACAGCUUGGUUGAAAGUGAAAAGAUGAAAAAGGAUCUACCAGACUGACAGUAAGCAUAAGAGAGCUAUAGUAGGCAUACUAACGUCAGAUAAGGUAGACUUCAAGACAGAAGGUGUUACAAGAGUAUUUCAUACCAAUAAAAGGAGCAGUUUAUCUGGAAGACUAACAGUGAAAAACAUGUUCAUGGCUAAUAAGCUUUUUUAAAUUAUAUGAAUUAAAAAUUGACAGACUGAAAUGAUGAAACAGACAAAUCCACAGUCAUAGUUGGAGAGUGUCAUACUUCUCUUUCACUAAUUGAAAGAAUUACUAGACAAAAGAUCAGGAAGGACAUAGAUGAUCUGGACAACACUAGUAGCCACCUUAACCUGUUCCACAUGUAUAGAACAAUAUAUCCGACAACCACAAAAUACACCUCUCUCCAAUGCUCAUGGCACAUUCACCAAAAGUGGCGCUAUUCUGGACCAUCAAAACAGUCUCUAUAAGUUUCAGAGAUUGAAAUCACACUGACACAGAGAUUGAAAUCACACUAUGUUCUCUGACCACAGUGGAAUUAGCAAUCAGUAACAACAUACCUAGGAAGUCUUCAAAAUAUUUAAUUUAAGCAGCAUACUUCUAAACAACUCAUGGGGCAAAAAAGAAAUCACAAAAAUGAUGAGAAAAUCUUUCUAACUGAUUGACAAUGGAAAUACAUUACAGUUUGUGGCAUGCAAUUAAAGCCAUGCUGACAGGGAAAUGUGUAAUUUUCAGUACUUGUGUUAGGAAAAAAGAGAAAGGGUAAGUUGAUUACCUAAGGUUCUAGCUGAAGAAGUUGGAGAAAACAAGAAGAGCAGCAUUAUUUGUAAUACCCCAAGCUGGAUGCUACUCAAAUGCCCAGACUUAGUAGAAUUGAUAAAGAAAUCUGGGUGUGUUCACAUAAUAAAAUACUAUUUAGCAAUAAGCUUAAACUCCCUCUAGUUCUUGAGCAAUCAGUGGCAAAUAUAGCAGAAUUUUGCAGAUGUGAUUGUGAGUGAGAAAAGCCGGACACAAGAAUAUAGACUGUGUGAGUCCAUUCAUAUGAAGUGCACAAACAGCUGAAACUUGUAUAGGCUGGUUAAAGGCCAGUAUAGUGUUCACCCUUAGUGGGGGAUCAUGAAUGGCAUUAGACCUGAGGGGGACCUCUGUGGAGUUAGUGCUUUGCAUCUGAUCUGAGUACUGAUGACAUAGAUGUGUUCAGGAGUGGAACUUCACUGAGCCACACUACAGUUGUGUAUGUAUGCCUACAUGUAUAUUUCAGUAAUAACACAAAAAGAAACUCAUGGGCAGCAUGAGUUUUUUUUUAAAGAUUUUAUUUAUUUAUUUGAGAGAGAGAGAAAACACAAGCAGGGGGAGGGGCAGAGGGAGAGGGACCAGCAGACGCCCUGCUGAGCAGGGAGCACAAUGUGCGGUUUGAUCCCCAGACUCCAAGAUUGGAACCUGAGCUGAAGGCAGAUAUUUAACUGACUGAGCUAUCCAGGUCCCCUUCAUGGGCAGCAUUUUCAACAAAGUAGGUGACAACGUAUCCCCAUGAACUUCAGAAUAAAAACAGAUAAAGGCAGGUCCCUCAUAACCACAAGAUCAACAAGUGAUUGGUAUCGGUGUAGAAGAAAGCAGAAAGCAUUGACAGACCCACCUGAGAGACCUGACAGCAGAAUUCCAAAACAGCAAACAGGCAUUCCCUCCAUAGUGUGGCACUCCAGCAUAAGGACAGCAGUUGAAACAGGAGGGGUUUUGCCCUCCAGUAAACACUGGGUUAAGUACAAGGGACUUGUGGUCAGAGUCAGAAAGGACGGAGAAAGUCCAGUCUGUAAUGAACUCUUAAAAAGGACCCACCAGAUCUUGCUUCCAGGAACAGGGUCCCACACUUGAGGAGAAGCUGCUGAGGAUGGAAUGGACGUUGAAUAGAAUAGGGACCAUAAAGAAGGAGGAAAGGUAAGAAUCAGGUAAAAGCGGGCGAGAGGACCAGAGCCAAGAACUCCAGUGAAGCGAGUCAUCACAUUUCUUUAACAGGCAUAGAAACAGCAGAAGGGGAGCCUCUGUGAAGUCAGAAGAGCCGCCCCGAACCAUACUUUCUAAAAGUUCCAGAGAACUUAUUACACGUAAGAAUGAACAACAGAUGGUACUACUGGUUGCACAGCUCUGAAAAUACUAAAACCACUGAACUGUACACUCGAAAUGGGUGAAUUUUAUGGUACAUGAAAUAUGUCUCAAUAAGGCUGUGAACACAAUUAUCAAGGUUGUAUCCCACACAAAAUUAUUAUAAAAGGGGAGGGGAGAAUCAAAAGCAUUCCAGAAAGACACACUCAAAAAACAACAAGUCAAAAAUACAUACUGUUUUUAAAAAUUGAACAAAGUUAAUGUGUUCACUGCUAUAAAUAUACACUGUUAAAAAUUAGUUGGCAGGCAUUAAGACUGUGUAAGACAGGGACGAAGAAGAGUAUAAAGCAGGAUUCAUAAAACACAGAAAAGUGGUGGCAAUGUGGGAGAAAGAAGAAUCAUAUCAGAAGUAAAAGCCAAACCAGAAGAAAACAAGAAUGGGUAAACAUUACAGAAAAUGCCUGGCUAAGGUAAAAGGGAAAAUGUUUUAAAUAAAAAAGGAGCAGAGAUAAACACAACUGAAGAAAAAGUGGCAAGUACUAAAGAUAGCAAAGAGGAUUUGACUUUUGGGUGAUGGGAUUAUCUACAGAAGAAAAGCAAGACCAAACCAAGAUAAAAGAGUAAAUGCUAAAAACAAAUGUUAAGGAAGCUUUCCUGGAACCUAAAAAAAAAAAAAAAAAAGGAAAAAAAUACUUACUCUGACAAAGCACACCAUGUACCUGAGACCAACCAAAAGACACAUUGUCAUAAAAUUACUAGACUUUAAAGAAGAAAAAAUGCCUCAGACAUUUCAGCAAAAACAGCAGUUGAUUUAUAAAGGGAAGAAAACUAGAUCACCCUCCAACUUUUGUGCCACCAAUGCUUUAUGGCAGAAGAAAGCAGAGUAACAUGUAGUUAAGAUACCCAAGGUGGAGCAUGUGAGCCAAGGACAUGAUCCCUGGUAAAACUGACCAUUGAGUAUAAAGGAUGCAGACCUAUAUCAACCUAGAGGAGCUCAGGAAAUACUGUUCCCAUGAUCCCCUCCUAAGGAAUUUGCUAGAGAAUGAGCUUUAGACAACCAAAAUAAUAAGGAAGAUAUCAUCUAAGGGCUGGUGGUGGUCUACUAGUCACUUGUAGAACUAAGACUAAAUGAAGGGGUUAAAAAGGAGAGAGCAGAGUGUAAUGUUUAUCUGCUCAGUGCUCAGGUAAUGUAGAUACAGUACAACAGUGUUUUAAAAAAUGGAGAAUUGGGGAAAGCAUGUGCAAGAAAAAAAAUGUUCUCAGUAUUCAUAUUGGUGGAAAUGUUACUUUUUUAUUCCAACACUGUGUGUAAUGUGAGGUAAAUGAGCAGUUAGGAGCUAUUCUCAUUCUAUCCUCUGUCUCUGAGAAGUAAGACUUUUCAUGUGGACAAAUACAGAUGAAAAAAAAUGUAAGUUAGAAAUAAAACAAACCUGUAGUGCUGAAUAGGAACUCGAGAAAUUGUAUUGAAAAGUACACACACACACACACACACACACACACACACACACACAGCUUUCAGUCUUGAAAUACCAUUCCCACUACAAGAAACCAGGAUGUCUUAGAGAAAUAGCUAGUUCUAAGUCUGGGGCAGGAAAUAGACGUGAUGAGCUGGAAACAUCUUGUUAAAAAGACAGGGAAGACAUUUUCAAAGGUAACUAGGGUCGUAGCAGUAGGACUCAGAAGUCAAUUUGAAAAUGUUUCCACUGGCCAGAGACAGUUUGGCUUCAAAAAGGGUUAAUUGUCAGUAGCAAGGAGCACUUUCAGAGCCCACAUCUGGGCUCUCUAGUUUAAAAAAAAAGAAGAAGAAGAAGAAGAAA